RNAcentral lists this ribosomal RNA (355 nucleotides) under uncultured bacterium. RNAcentral's name for it is "bacterial SSU rRNA". It matches the Rfam family "Bacterial small subunit ribosomal RNA", at positions 1 to 334 of the family's 1533-position model. The record is from RNAcentral.
GUACGCUAUUCAGAGUUUGAUCCUGGCUCAGGACGAACGCUGGCGGCGUGCCUAACACAUGCAAGUCGAACGGGGCUAUUAUGGAUUUCUCUUCGGAGAUUGAAGUUUUAGCUUAGUGGCGAACGGGUGAGUAACGCGUGAGAAACCUGCCUUCCAGUGGGGGACAACAGUUGGAAACGACUGCUAAUACCGCAUAACACUUUAGUACCGCAUGGUACAGAAGUCAAAGCUUUAUGUGCUGGAAGAUGGUCUCGCGUCUGAUUAGCUAGAUGGCGGGGUAACGGCCCACCAUGGCGACGAUCAGUAGCCGGUCUGAGAGGAUGAACGGCCACAUUGGGACUGAGAUACGGCCCAG